CGGGUGAGUAACGCGUGGGUAACCUGCCUUAUACUGGGGGAUAACAGCCAGAAAUGACUGCUAAUACCGCAUAAGCGCACAGAACCGCAUGGUCCGGUGUGAAAAACUCCGGUGGUAUAAGAUGGACCCGCGUUGGAUUAGCUAGUUGGCAGGGCAGCGGCCUACCAAGGCGACGAUCCAUAGCCGGCCUGAGAGGGUGAACGGCCACAUUGGGACUGAGACACGGCCCAG
This 231-nucleotide ribosomal RNA is filed under the name uncultured bacterium. RNAcentral's name for it is "partial 16S ribosomal RNA". It matches the Rfam family "Bacterial small subunit ribosomal RNA", at positions 103 to 334 of the family's 1533-position model. The record is from RNAcentral.